This 106-nucleotide small nucleolar RNA is filed under the name Gossypium hirsutum (cotton). RNAcentral describes it as "Plant small nucleolar RNA R71". It matches the Rfam family "Plant small nucleolar RNA R71". From Rfam's summary of the family: R71 is a member of the C/D box family of snoRNAs containing the C (UGAUGA) and D (CUGA) box motifs. Multiple nearly identical copies of this snoRNA have been identified in Arabidopsis, and it is thought to function as a 2'-O-ribose methylation guide for 18S ribosomal RNA. Lineage: Eukaryota; Viridiplantae; Streptophyta; Magnoliopsida; Malvales; Malvaceae. The record is from Rfam by way of RNAcentral.
AUUCCAUGAUGAGGGCACCUUUGUAAUAAUUCUUUGUACCUUUCCUAUGCCUCAUAAAGGACCCAUCAUCCGUUUGUUGGAAAGUAGUCAUUUCGUUCCUCAACUU